Molecule: transfer RNA, 58 nt
Filed under: Haemaphysalis mageshimaensis
Lineage: Eukaryota; Metazoa; Arthropoda; Arachnida; Ixodida; Ixodidae
Description: tRNA-Ser
Source: RNAcentral
AAAGAUUAACAUAUUUAGGCUUCUAACCUAAAAUUAAUGAAUUUUCAUUUAAUCUUUA